UUGCUAUGGUGACAAAGAAUGAACUCCGAGGGUCUGUGCAAACGGGGUAACUGGGAAGAAAAGAUCUUAGCUCAUGUACACGGUUUUCCAAAUGAUUCCUUUCAACGUACCUGAAAAGUCACUUCCGUCACCCACGAAGACCGCAGGGGAGGCAAUGAAAGCGGAAGAUGAACACAGGACUGUGGGGGACGCAUCCGCCUCGUCUUCAUUCGGGAAAGCCGUGCCGCUGGCCGGUUGUGCACUGAGCGUGGCAGAGAGCAGGACACAGACCAGCCGGAGCACAGGCAGAGAGGCCACACUGAGAAACACUGCUCCCACCUGAGGCCCCACGCUGCAGACGGGAGCCCAAAGUGCCAGGAACAGGAAGGCCUGGCCCCUUCUCCCCAUCAGGGCUGGUCAAGGAAGGACUGGCUGCGUAAUCCACGGGACUGGUGUAAAACAAAGACGCAGGGCCCCGGUUCAAGCAGUAAUAAGUAUUCCAAGAUGGCUUCACCACGACAUCGAGUGGAGCGCAGGACGCGUUUGAGGGCAGGGUGCCACCUGCUAGCUGGCAGGCCGACAAAGCUCCCCGGGUCUCGCCAUAGUCAUCUCUGUCCACCAGCACCAAGCAUGCUGCCUGGCCCACGCCUGGGGAGUCACAGAUAUUUAUUAAACCGAACGGAGCCUACGAUUCCUCAA
Molecule: long non-coding RNA, 678 nt
Organism: Panthera uncia (snow leopard)
Lineage: Eukaryota; Metazoa; Chordata; Mammalia; Carnivora; Felidae
Exons: 3
Source: RefSeq, a predicted model, not a curated record